Molecule: non-coding RNA, 2538 nt
Organism: Salmo salar (Atlantic salmon)
Lineage: Eukaryota; Metazoa; Chordata; Actinopteri; Salmoniformes; Salmonidae
Source: RefSeq, a predicted model, not a curated record
UGCAAAGAGUCCGCGCGCACAGACAGCCCUUCUAGUCAUGGGAAAUGUAGGCCGACUGCAAAGAUCACACAUGCUAUUUUAUCUGAUUUUAUUUUGAAUGUAAAGUCUAACAAAGUACAGUGAAUGUAAGAGUAAAUUGUGUUAUCCAGUCCUUUCUUUGUAAAUUAUACAAUGUUUUGUUAUUUUAUGUUUUGCAAGUUAUUUUGCCAUUAGAUGGCAGUGUAGCCUUAAAAGUGGGACGACUAUUCUAAAAUGACUGGGUAGCAGACGGGGCGCUGUUCGGAAGCCACUAUCAACAAUCUCUCACAGUCUCACGUCAUAAUUAGACACAUUCAUCCAUGUUUCUCAAAUUUCAAAGUGUUUAAGGUUAAGUUGAGGCAUUAACUCCGAAAUCUUAAGGUUAGGCGUUUACUCCGAAUUCAAAAAUCUCAAACAACUUUCUAUUGCUGGUUUCAGACUUGGAACCUUUGGAAUCAGAGGCCGAUGCUUACUGUUGCCCCUAGUGGCUAGUUCCCAGGUUCCAUGUAAAAAAAGAAAGCUUCUUACCAAAGAGCAAUUUCUCAAGCAAGAAUUUUGCUAGGACUUUCUGGAAGUGGUUUGAGUGGGGAGGGGAAAACUAAAAACGAGCUAUUAUUGGCAGAGGGGUUUGGAACUCUCUUUCUUAUUGGUCUAUUAACUAAUUUACCACCUGGUGAUGUCACCAGGCAGGCCAAAACUCCAUCUGACCAAAACAGGCUGUAAUUUCAGGCAGUCUUGUCAAACAGCUUUUCCACUAGAGGGCAUUAUCAUAAUUUUCACAAUUUCGCAGUAUCACAGUUUUUUCCAAUUGCUAACACACUAAAAUGACAUCCACAGCACAAUUAUUUAAACUGACACACAGAGAGCAAAGCCUCUUCUCAAGUCUCCAAAAGUCUAAACACAUUUUCUGCUUUACACACAUUUUGCAAUUCAUAAUGGCACUUAUUAAAUGCACUGCACACGGUUCUCUGCAUAAGACACAACAAUCUGACAUAAAGUCACAUGUUUGCCAUUUCAAAACACUGCCAUUCAAAAUUACACUACAUGAGCUAAUUGGCCAAUACAUGUGCCACCUGGCCAAACACCUCAAUGGUUAAUUGUUACCACUUCAAUCAGGAAGUAAGCACUAUGAAAAGACCACAGGUGAGCACCUUUUGUUUUACAACAACAAUGGAAGCCGUUGCAGAGAGAGGAAAAGGGAGGGUGAGAAUGAGAGAGAGGGGGAGGAAGAGUGAGAGGUAGGAGUAGAGCUGGUAGAGGAGUUCAUGUCCAAAGAAGACAACAACUUUCAAAUGAAAUCAGAGCAACCUUAGUUGAUCAUGUCAUCAACCAUGGGCUGACAAUGCGAGAGGCUGGACAGAGAGUGCAGCCCAACUUGAGCCAUUGGAGUACAGACGCAACCAUGGUGGAGGAAGGGGCCAAAUGUUCACCGGGGUACAUGAAGCUGCCAUUGUAAACUUAGUUUUGGAAAAUAAUGAAAUCAGAUUACGAGAAAUUCAAAGCCACAUCAUCCAAGACAACACCAUAUUCAACGAGUCACUGUCCACAUUGGCUCGCAUUCUCAAGCGAAACCAAAUCAGAAUGAAACAACUUUAUAAGGUGCCGUUUAAGAGAAACUCUCAAAGAAACAGAGGUCAGACGAGUAUAUGUGGAUGGAGUACUGGAAAUGGAUGCUCAUGCAAUCCCACAUCUUUAUAGAUGAGGCUGGGUUCAACCUUGCAAAGACCAGAAAAGACCAGAAGAAGGGGGAGAAACGUCAUUGGCCACAGAGCCAUUAUAGAUGUUCCUGGCCAACGUGGUGGGAACAUCACAAUGUGCGCUGCCAUCUCCAAUACACAUGGUGUCCUCCACCGUCAUGCCAACCUUGGACCAUACAACACAGCCCAUAUUCUCACAUUUCUGGACAGACUCCACAACAUUCUCAUACCAUCAAAGAACCCGAUACGUUGUAGUAUGGCACAACGUGAGCUUUCAUCGUGCAGCCCCAGUCCAAAACUGGUUUGCUGACCACCCACUAUUUCUCGUGGAAUACCACCCACCAUACUCACCAUUUCUCAACCCCAUAGAAGAGUUAUUUUCGGCAUGGCGGUGGAAGGUAUACGACCGGCAGCCCUUUGUGCGCAUGCCUCUUGUACAGGCUAUGUGAUGAGAUUGAUGUGGGUGCGAUUCAGGGAUGGAUAAGGCACUCAAGGCGCUUCUUCCCUCGAUGUCUGGCAAGGGAAGAUAUUGCCUGUGAUGUGGACGAGGCGUUGUGGCCAGACCCAGCUGUGCGGAAAGAUGCUGCCUAAUUAUUCUUCUUGCCUCUUUUCUAUAUUUUUUUUCUGCCCAUUAUUUAUUUUUUUUCUGCAAUUUUCUUUUUCAGUUUUGUUUUUUUGUCAGCAUAUUUUUGUUCAGUCCAAUGUAACUAUCUGCUGUGCACUGACUUGUUUGGUGAAAAAAUAAAAUGUUUCAACAGCAUGUGUGUAUCUGCAAAUAUUUCUGUGCAUCUGAAGAAUUUUCUACAAUUUAAACUAUUUUAGU